RNAcentral lists this ribosomal RNA (119 nucleotides) under Pteropus alecto (black flying fox). Lineage: Eukaryota; Metazoa; Chordata; Mammalia; Chiroptera; Pteropodidae. The record is from RNAcentral.
GUCUACGGCCAUGCCACCCUGAACAAGCCGGAUCCCAUCUGAUCUCGGAAGCUAAGCAAGGUCGGGCCUGGUUACUACUUGGAUGAGAGACCACCUAGGAAGACCAGGUACUGCAGGCA